AUUGAAUGCUGGCGGCAUGCCUUACACAUGCAAGUCGAACGGCAGCACGGAGCUUGCUCUGGUGGCGAGUGGCGAACGGGUGAGUAAUAUAUCGGAACGUACCCUAGAGUGGGGGAUAACGUAGCGAAAGUUACGCUAAUACCGCAUACGAUCUAAGGAUGAAAGUGGGGGAUCGCAAGACCUCAUGCUCGUGGAGCGGCCGAUAUCUGAUUAGCUAGUUGGUAGGGUAAAAGCCUACCAAGGCAUCGAUCAGUAGCUGGUCUGAGAGGACGACCAGCCACACUGGAACUGAGACACGGUCCAGACUCCUACGGGAGGCAGCAGUGGGGAAUUUUGGACAAUGGGCGAAAGCCUGAUCCAGCAAUGCCGCGUGAGUGAAGAAGGCCUUCGGGUUGUAAAGCUCUUUUGUCAGGGAAGAAACGGUGAGAGCUAAUAUCUCUUGCUAAUGACGGUACCUGAAGAAUAAGCACCGGCUAACUACGUGCCAGCAGCCGCGGUAAUACGUAGGGUGCAAGCGUUAAUCGGAAUUACUGGGCGUAAAGCGUGCGCAGGCGGUUUUGUAAGUCUGAUGUGAAAUCCCCGGGCUCAACCUGGGAAUUGCAUUGGAGACUGCAAGGCUAGAAUCUGGCAGAGGGGGGUAGAAUUCCACGUGUAGCAGUGAAAUGCGUAGAUAUGUGGAGGAACACCGAUGGCGAAGGCAGCCCCCUGGGUCAAGAUUGACGCUCAUGCACGAAAGCGUGGGGAGCAAACAGGAUUAGAUACCCUGGUAGUCCACGCCCUAAACGAUGUCUACUAGUUGUCGGGUCUUAAUUGACUUGGUAACGCAGCUAACGCGUGAAGUAGACCGCCUGGGGAGUACGGUCGCAAGAUUAAAACUCAAAGGAAUUGACGGGGACCCGCACAAGCGGUGGAUGAUGUGGAUUAAUUCGAUGCAACGCGAAAAACCUUACCUACCCUUGACAUGGCUGGAAUCCCCGAGAGAUCAGGGAGUGCUCGAAAGAGAACCAGUACACAGGUGCUGCAUGGCUGUCGUCAGCUCGUGUCGUGAGAUGUUGGGUUAAGUCCCGCAACGAGCGCAACCCUUGUCAUUAGUUGCUACGAAAGGGCACUCUAAUGAGACUGCCGGUGACAAACCGGAGGAAGGUGGGGAUGACGUCAAGUCCUCAUGGCCCUUAUGGGUAGGGCUUCACACGUCAUACAAUGGUACAUACAGAGCGCCGCCAACCCGCGAGGGGGAGCUAAUCGCAGAAAGUGUAUCGUAGUCCGGAUUGUAGUCUGCAACUCGACUGCAUGAAGUUGGAAUCGCUAGUAAUCGCGGAUCAGCAUGUCGCGGUGAAUACGUUCCCGGGUCU
Molecule: ribosomal RNA, 1352 nt
Filed under: uncultured bacterium
Lineage: Bacteria
Description: bacterial SSU rRNA
Rfam family: Bacterial small subunit ribosomal RNA
Source: RNAcentral